This 62-nucleotide transfer RNA is filed under the name Nesidiocoris tenuis. RNAcentral describes it as "tRNA-Asp". The record is from RNAcentral. Lineage: Eukaryota; Metazoa; Arthropoda; Insecta; Hemiptera; Miridae.
AAGAAAUUAGUUUAAAAAAAACAAUAACUUGUCAAGUUAUAAACACUAUUAAGUAUUUCUUA